CGACCGGCGCACGGGUGAGUAACGCGUAUGCAACCUGCCUGAUACCGGGGUAUAGCCCAUGGAAACGUGGAUUAACACCCCAUAGUACUUUUAUCCUGCAUGGGAUGUGAGUUAAAUGUUCAAGGUAUCGGAUGGGGAUGCGUCCUAUUAGUUAGUUGGCGGGGUAACGGCCCACCAAGACGAUGAUAGGUAGGGGUUCUGAGAGGAAGGUCCCCCACAUUGGAACUGAGACACGGUCCAA
RNAcentral lists this ribosomal RNA (241 nucleotides) under uncultured bacterium. RNAcentral describes it as "partial 16S ribosomal RNA". It matches the Rfam family "Bacterial small subunit ribosomal RNA", at positions 92 to 334 of the family's 1533-position model. The record is from RNAcentral.